RNAcentral lists this ribosomal RNA (397 nucleotides) under uncultured bacterium. RNAcentral's name for it is "partial 16S ribosomal RNA". It matches the Rfam family "Bacterial small subunit ribosomal RNA", at positions 523 to 918 of the family's 1533-position model. The record is from RNAcentral.
AUACGUAGGGUGCAAGCGUUGUCCGGAAUUAUUGGGCGUAAAGCGCGCGCAGGCGGUCCUUUAAGUCUGAUGUGAAAGCCCACGGCUCAACCGUGGAGGGUCAUUGGAAACUGGGGGACUUGAGUGCAGAAGAGGAAAGUGGAAUUCCAAGUGUAGCGGUGAAAUGCGUAGAGAUUUGGAGGAACACCAGUGGCGAAGGCGACUUUCUGGUCUGUAACUGACGCUGGGGCGCGAAAGGGUGGGGAGCAAACAGGAUUAGAUGCCCUGGUAGUCCACGCUGUAAACGAUGAGUGCUAAGUGUUAGGGGGUUUCCGCCCCUUAGUGCUGCAGCUAACGCAUUAAGCACUCCGCCUGGGGAGUACGGUCGCAAGACUGAAACUCAAAUGAAUUGGCGGGG